CUGUUCCUUUUUCCUAUGCAUAUACCUUUUUCAUAUGUAACUUUAAAGAGGCAUAGGGCAUGGGAAAAUGGGGCUG
Molecule: microRNA precursor, 76 nt
Filed under: Larimichthys crocea (large yellow croaker)
Lineage: Eukaryota; Metazoa; Chordata; Actinopteri; Sciaenidae
Also listed under: 1 other name
Description: mir-202 microRNA precursor family
Rfam family: mir-202 microRNA precursor family
Source: Rfam by way of RNAcentral